Molecule: unclassified non-coding RNA, 230 nt
Filed under: Hevea brasiliensis (rubber tree)
Lineage: Eukaryota; Viridiplantae; Streptophyta; Magnoliopsida; Malpighiales; Euphorbiaceae
Source: RNAcentral
GAAAUCUUUAAUACUUGGUGCAACAUUCUGAAACGUGUGCCCAAUGGUGCCCUUUGGCUCCUUAGGUUCCCAGCUGCAGGCGAAAUGAGACUUCGUUCAUAUGCUGUUGCACAAGGGCUGCAGCCAGAGCAAAUUAUUUUUACUGAUGUUGCCAUGAAACAUGAACAUAUCAGACGCAGUGCUUUAGCUGAUCUAUUCCUAGACACGCCAUUAUGUAAUGCACAUACAAC